GGAGAUUACAUUUGGUAUCGGAGCGGUCUCGGGUCCGACUCUGUUGGUUGGCUAAGGGAAUCACACCACAUGUUGAUUGACAUCUGGCUGGUUCAGUUUGCUCCCGCUGGGCUCGACCCGAGGGGUAGGGUGUCAAGAGAGCGGGGCUCUUGGGAGAGUUGCGGCUCUCAGCUUUCGUUCACGAGGGCGUGAACUUGCAGGGAAGCGUGGUG
Molecule: long non-coding RNA, 212 nt
Filed under: Selaginella moellendorffii
Lineage: Eukaryota; Viridiplantae; Streptophyta; Lycopodiopsida; Selaginellales; Selaginellaceae
Description: long non-coding RNA (SMOE_LNC002250)
Source: RNAcentral